This 261-nucleotide ribosomal RNA is filed under the name uncultured prokaryote. RNAcentral's name for it is "partial 16S ribosomal RNA". It matches the Rfam family "Bacterial small subunit ribosomal RNA", at positions 524 to 784 of the family's 1533-position model. The record is from RNAcentral.
UACGUAGGUGGCUAGCGUUGUCCGGAUUUACUGGGCGUAAAGUGAGCGUAGGCGGACUUUUAAGUGAGAUGUGAAAUACCCGGGCUCAACUUGGGUGCUGCAUUUCAAACUGGAAGUCUAGAGUGCAGGAGAGGAGAAUGGAAUUCCUAGUGUAGCGGUGAAAUGCGUAGAGAUUAGGAAGAACACCAGUGGCGAAGGCGAUUCUCUGGACUGUAACUGACGCUGAGGCUCGAAAGCGUGGAGAGCAAACAGGAUUAGAUA